RNAcentral lists this non-coding RNA (64 nucleotides) under Lentimicrobium saccharophilum. Its description in RNAcentral is "Fluoride riboswitch aptamer (crcB RNA motif)". It matches the Rfam family "Fluoride riboswitch aptamer (crcB RNA motif)". The record is from Rfam by way of RNAcentral. RNAcentral also lists the same sequence under 1 other name. Lineage: Bacteria; Pseudomonadati; Bacteroidota; Bacteroidia; Bacteroidales; Lentimicrobiaceae.
UUUGCCGCAGGCUAUGGGGUUAGCCUUUAACCGCCUUCAACAAGCUGAUAACUCCUGGAUGAUU